This is a long non-coding RNA of Xiphophorus couchianus (Monterrey platyfish), 805 nucleotides long. RefSeq lists it as uncharacterized. The transcript is spliced from 3 exons. NCBI's taxonomy places the organism in Eukaryota, Metazoa, Chordata, Actinopteri, Cyprinodontiformes, Poeciliidae. The record is from RefSeq and is a predicted model, not a curated record.
CACUGCUGAGAUAUUAAUUAUACACAGCACCCGUGGAAAGUGGGCGAAAACAGUUAGAUAGACAAAAGAUGUUUUGUUUUCUCGCAAGAUGCGGUGUUUGUGCUUUUGGAGAGCAGAAGACACAGUGAGGAAGGGGCUCUAUUGAGAUCUGGUGACUGUGGAGUGCAGUGAACUCACUGUUGUGCUCAUGAACUCAACAGAGAUGAUUUGAGCUGGAAGUGGCCAUCAGAAGAUGCUCUCACUGUGGAUGGACUUCAUCAAUAACAAAAGAAAGUGCAGUCCCUCGUCUCCCUACGCUUCUGCUCUAACGUGACAUCUCCCUUGGCUGCUGACAGCACUAUUGACUAAGAUGAUGGAUGAGGGCUGUCCAUUAGGUUGCAUUACCUUUGUCUACACUGGAGCACUCUUGAAGGCAGCUUUGUUCUAACCUCACUCAAACUGAAAGGCAGACAAAUGAAGCCAUCAAACACACUAGAAGUUCCAGCCUUGUCACUUAUCGUUUUAACUGGGCUGCUGUUUUGGGUUUUUUUUAAGGUGAGAUGGAGGUGCUCUGUUAUCUUUCAUAUGAAAACAUAGCAUGUAUUUUUGAAUCUGAUAUUGUAGCCCAGAGGUUCUCAAAUUUCAUGUUCAAAAGUCCAAUAAGGACCAACUUCUGCAAUAUUCCAGUUUUACAGACAAUUUUGUUUCAUAAAUUGAAUUCCAAGUUUGCAUUGCCCACACAUAAAAAUUCCUUAUUGACUGUGGUUUAGUGCAAAUCUGUACCAAAGAGUCUCUGUUCCAGCCUGAAAACAUUUAUUUUUUUCUU